This 644-nucleotide ribosomal RNA is filed under the name uncultured fungus. Its description in RNAcentral is "partial small subunit ribosomal RNA". It matches the Rfam family "Eukaryotic small subunit ribosomal RNA", at positions 407 to 1050 of the family's 1831-position model. Lineage: Eukaryota; Fungi. The record is from RNAcentral.
CUACCACAUCCNNGGAAGGCAGCAGGCGCGCAAAUUACCCANNNNNGAUACGGGGAGGUAGUGACAAUAAAUAACAAUACCGGGCAUUUAAUGUCUGGUAAUUGGAAUGAGUACAAUCUAAAUCCCUUAACGAGGAUCUAUUGGAGGGCAAGNNNNGUGCCAGCAGCCGCGGUAAUUCCAGCUCCAAUAGCGUAUAUUAAAGUUGUUGCAGUUAAAAANNNNNNAGUUGAAUUUCGGGAUUGACACGUCGGUCGUGCCCUAAGGGGUAUGAACUGGCGUAGUCAAUUUCUCACCUUCUGGAGAACCGCNAUGCCCUUAAUUGGGUGUCGCGGGGAACCAGGACCUUUACUUUGAAAAAAUUAGAGUGUUUAAAGCAGGCAUUUUGCUUGAAUACAUUAGCAUGGAAUAAUAAAAUAGGACGGCAUGAUUCUAUUUUGUUGGUUUCUAGGAUCACCGUAAUGAUUAAUAGGGAUAGUUGGGGGCAUUAGUAUUCAAUUGUCAGAGGUGAAAUUCUUGGAUUUAUUGAAGACUAACUACUGCGAAAGCAUUUGCCAAGGAUGUUUUCAUUAAUCAAGAACGAAAGUUAGGGGAUCGAAGACGAUCAGAUACCGUCGUAGUCUUAACCAUAAACUAUGCCGACUAGG